This 382-nucleotide ribosomal RNA is filed under the name uncultured delta proteobacterium. RNAcentral describes it as "bacterial SSU rRNA". It matches the Rfam family "Bacterial small subunit ribosomal RNA", at positions 165 to 523 of the family's 1533-position model. The record is from RNAcentral. Lineage: Bacteria; Deltaproteobacteria.
AAUACCGGAUGAGCCUACGAGGCCUUCGGGUCAUGUGGGAAAAGAUGGCCUCUGCUUGCAAGCUAUCGCAACGAGAUGAGCCCGCGUCCCAUUAGCUAGUUGGUGAGGUAACGGCUCACCAAGGCGACGAUGGGUAGCUGGUCUGAGAGGACGAUCAGCCACACUGGAACUGAGACACGGUCCAGACUCCUACGGGAGGCAGCAGUCGGGAAUAUUGGGCAAUGGGCGCAAGCCUGACCCAGCGACGCCGCGUGAGGGAUGAAGGCCUUCGGGUCGUAAACCUCUGUCGGGAGGGAAGAAUGGCGGUGAAGCGAAUAGUUUCGCUGUCUGACGGUACCUCCAAAGGAAGCGCCGGCUAACUCCGUGCCAGCAGCCGCGGUAA